GGGGGAUAUUGCACAAUGGAGGAAACUCUGAUGCAGCAACGCCGCGUGAGGGAAGAAGGUCUUCGGAUUGUAAACCUUAGUAGUCAGGGACGAAGAAAUGACGGUACCUGAAGAGUAAGCUCCGGCUAACUACGUGCCAGCAGCCGCGGUAAUACGUAGGGAGCGAGCGUUGUCCGGAAUUACUGGGUGUAAAGGGUGCGUAGGCGGGACUGCAAGUCAGGCGUGAAAUACCGGAGCUUAACUCCGGGGCUGCGCUUGAAACUGUGGUUCUUGAGUGAAGUAGAGGUAGGCGGAAUUCCUAGUGUAGCGGUGAAAUGCGUAGAUAUUAGGAGGAACACCAGUGGCGAAGGCGGCCUACUGGGCUUUAACUGACGCUGAGGCACGAAAGCAUGGGGAGCAAAC
RNAcentral lists this ribosomal RNA (402 nucleotides) under uncultured bacterium. RNAcentral's name for it is "bacterial SSU rRNA". It matches the Rfam family "Bacterial small subunit ribosomal RNA", at positions 356 to 773 of the family's 1533-position model. The record is from RNAcentral.